RNAcentral lists this unclassified non-coding RNA (240 nucleotides) under soil metagenome. Its description in RNAcentral is "partial contains 5.8S ribosomal RNA, internal transcribed spacer 2, and large subunit ribosomal RNA". The record is from RNAcentral.
AACGGUCUAUACCUGCGGUACCUGCGGAAGGAUCAUUAUUGAUUGAUAAAGGGAUGUGCUGGCAAAAAUACCACUUUGCAUUGUGCACUCCUGAAAUCUUCAUCCACUUUUUGUGCACUUUUGUAGACAAAGUCUGCUUUUUUGGCUUUUGUCUAUGUUUUUAUUACACAUUCAUCAGUCAUCUAAUGAUUUGUGACUUAUUAGUCAAAUUUAAUACAACUUUCAACAACGGAUCUCUAG